RNAcentral lists this ribosomal RNA (253 nucleotides) under uncultured bacterium. RNAcentral describes it as "partial 16S ribosomal RNA". It matches the Rfam family "Bacterial small subunit ribosomal RNA", at positions 524 to 776 of the family's 1533-position model. The record is from RNAcentral.
UACGUAGGGUGCUAGCGUUACUCGGAAUCACUGGGCGUAAAGCGCGCGCAGGCGGCCCGUUAAGUUGGAUGUGAAAUCCUAUGGCUCAACCAUAGAACUGCAUCCAAAACUGAUGGGCUAGAGUCUGGGAGGGGAAGAUGGAAUUAGUGGUGUAGGGGUAAAAUCCGUAGAGAUCACUAGGAAUACCAAAAGCGAAGGCGAUCUUCUGGAACAGUACUGACGCUGAGGCGCGAAAGCGUGGGGAGCAAACAGG